GACGAACGCUGGCGGCGUGCUUAACACAUGCAAGUCGAACGGUGAAGCGAGUGCUUGCACUCGUGGAUCAGUGGCGAACGGGUGAGUAACACGUGAGUAACCUGCCCAUCACUCUGGGAUAAGCACUGGAAACGGUGUCUAAUACUGGAUACGACCAACCCUUGCAUGGGGUGUUGGUGGAAAGAUUUAUCGGUGAUGGAUGGACUCGCGGCCUAUCAGCUUGUUGGCGGGGUAAUGGCCAACCAAGGCGACGACGGGUAGCCGGCCUGAGAGGGUGACCGGCCACACUGGGACUGAGACACGGCCCAGACUCCUACGGGAGGCAGCAGUGGGGAAUAUUGCACAAUGGGCGAAAGCCUGAUGCAGCGACGCCGCGUGAGGGAUGACGGCCUUCGGGUUGUAAACCUCUUUCAGCAGGGAAGAAGCGAAAGUGACGGUACCUGCAGAAGAAGCACCGGCUAACUACGUG
This 469-nucleotide ribosomal RNA is filed under the name uncultured bacterium. Its description in RNAcentral is "partial 16S ribosomal RNA". It matches the Rfam family "Bacterial small subunit ribosomal RNA", at positions 28 to 507 of the family's 1533-position model. The record is from RNAcentral.